This 67-nucleotide transfer RNA is filed under the name Vestalis melania. RNAcentral describes it as "tRNA-Phe". It matches the Rfam family "tRNA". Rfam says of the family: Transfer RNA (tRNA) molecules are approximately 80 nucleotides in length. Lineage: Eukaryota; Metazoa; Arthropoda; Insecta; Odonata; Calopterygidae. The record is from RNAcentral.
GUUCAGGUAGCUUAAGUUUAAAGCUCUACAUUGAAGCUGUGGAGAUAAUGAAUUACAUUUCUGGGCA